RNAcentral lists this ribosomal RNA (484 nucleotides) under uncultured bacterium. RNAcentral describes it as "partial 16S ribosomal RNA". It matches the Rfam family "Bacterial small subunit ribosomal RNA", at positions 30 to 507 of the family's 1533-position model. The record is from RNAcentral.
AUUGAACGCUGGCGGCAGGCCUAACACAUGCAAGUCGAGCGGAUGAAGGGAGCUUGCUCCUGGAUUCAGCGGCGGACGGGUGAGUAAUGCCUAGGAAUCUGCCUGGUAGUGGGGGAUAACGUCCGGAAACGGGCGCUAAUACCGCAUACGUCCUGAGGGAGAAAGUGGGGGAUCUUCGGACCUCACGCUAUCAGAUGAGCCUAGGUCGGAUUAGCUAGUUGGUGGGGUAAAGGCCUACCAAGGCGACGAUCCGUAACUGGUCUGAGAGGAUGAUCAGUCACACUGGAACUGAGACACGGUCCAGACUCCUACGGGAGGCAGCAGUGGGGAAUAUUGGACAAUGGGCGAAAGCCUGAUCCAGCCAUGCCGCGUGUGUGAAGAAGGUCUUCGGAUUGUAAAGCACGUUAAGUUGGGAGGAAGAGCAGUAAGUUAAUACCUUGCUGUUUUGACGUUACCAACAGAAUAAGCACCGGCUAACUUCGUG